RNAcentral lists this transfer RNA (74 nucleotides) under Ochetellus glaber. RNAcentral's name for it is "tRNA-His". The record is from RNAcentral. Lineage: Eukaryota; Metazoa; Arthropoda; Insecta; Hymenoptera; Formicidae.
AUUUAAAUAGUUUAAAAAAAAAUAAUAAUUUGUGGGAUUAUAGAUAUAUAUAUAUUGUUAAAAUAUUUUAAAUU